RNAcentral lists this ribosomal RNA (306 nucleotides) under Macrobrachium sp. 2 PRD-2021a. RNAcentral's name for it is "partial large subunit ribosomal RNA". The stretch from base 156 to 306 matches the Rfam family "Bacterial large subunit ribosomal RNA", at positions 2473 to 2622 of the family's 2925-position model. Lineage: Eukaryota; Metazoa; Arthropoda; Malacostraca; Decapoda; Palaemonidae. The record is from RNAcentral.
UGGGCUUGGUUCGUGAUGUCCGUGACCCAUAGUUUUGCUUGAUUUAUAUGUCGUUGGGGGAGAUGAAGCCCUAAUGCCUCACUGUCUGAUUAAUUUAAUAGGGGUUGGGCCCGUCCGAUCCUUCUUUGUGGAUAAUAAGAAUAAGUCACUUUAGGGAUAACAGCGUCAUUUUCUUUUGAGAGUUCUCAUCGACAAGAGUAGUUGCGACCUCGAUGUUUGCAUUAAAAUUUCAGCUAGGUGCAGCCGCUUGGCUGGAAGGCCUGUUCGAUCUUUAAAAUUUUACGUGAUCUGAGGUCAGACCGGACC